Molecule: ribosomal RNA, 1273 nt
Filed under: uncultured bacterium
Lineage: Bacteria
Description: bacterial SSU rRNA
Rfam family: Bacterial small subunit ribosomal RNA
Source: RNAcentral
AGUGGCGAAAGGGCGAGUAAUACAUUUCUACGUACCCUGAGGUCGGGGACAGCCCGGGGAAACCCGGAUUAAUACCCGAUGAUGUCGUAAGACCAAAGCCGCAAGGCGCCUUUGGAGUGGGGAAUGUCCUAUCAGGUAGUUGGUGAGGUAACGGCUCACCAAGCCGUAGACGGGUAGCGGGUGUGAGAGCACGGCCCGCCGCAUCGGGACUGAGACACUGCCCGGACUCCUACGGGAGGCUGCAGUAACGAAUCUUCCACAAUGGGCGAAAGCCUGAUGGAGCAAUGCCGCGUGCAGGAUGAAGCCCUUCGGGGUGUAAACUGCUGUCAGGGGUCACCAACACAAUGAGGAGCCCCAAAGGAAGGGCCGGCUAACUCUGUGCCAGCAGCCGCGGUAAUACAGAGGGCCCGAGCGUUGCGCGGAAUCACUGGGCUUAAAGCGUGCGUAGGCGGAUCGUUAAGCGUUUUGUGAAAUCCCACGGCUCAACCGUGGAAUUGCAGGGCGAACUGGCGAUCUUGAGGUCGGUAGGGGUCGUUGGAACGCUAGGUGGAGCGGUGAAAUGCGUAGAUAUCUAGCGGAACACCGAAGGUGAAGACAGGCGACUAGGCCGAUUCUGACGCUGAGGCACGAAAGCGUGGGGAGCGAACGGGAUUAGAUACCCCGGUAGUCCACGCCCUAAACGAUGUGCACUAGGUCGUGGGAGUUCUGACACUCUCUCGAUCGAAGAGAAAUUACUUAGUGCACCGCCUGGGGAGUACGGUCGCAAGGCUAAAACUCAAAGGAAUUGACGGGGGCUCACACAAGCGGUGGAGCAUGUGGCUCAAUUCGAAGCAACGCGAAGAACCUUAUCCUGGGCUUGACAUGCAUGGAUUAGUCCGGUGAAAGCCGGGUGACACCCGCAAGGGUGGAACAUGCACAGGUGCUGCAUGGCUGUCGUCAGCUCGUGCUGUGAAGUGUCGGGUUAAGUCCCUUAACGAGCGCAACCCCUGUCGUUAGUUGCCAGCGCGCCUUCGGGUGGCGGGGACUCUAGCGAGACUGCCGGUGUCAAACCGGAGGAAGGUGGGGAUGACGUCAAGUCCGCAUGGCCUUUAUGCCCAGGGCUGCACACGUGCUACAAUGGCGCGCACAGAACGAAGCAAGAGCGCAAGCUGGAGCAAAUCGCUCAAAUCGCGCCCCAGUUCGGAUUGAGGGCUGCAACCCGCCCUCAUGAAGUCGGAAUCGCUAGUAAUCGCGGAUCAGCUACGCCGCGGUGAAUACGUUCCUGAGCCUUGCA